Molecule: unclassified non-coding RNA, 173 nt
Filed under: soil metagenome
Description: partial internal transcribed spacer 1
Source: RNAcentral
GUGAUUAAAUCGAGCGUGUCUUCAUUGACCGCUCACCCUUCUCACCAUCCACAUACACCUGUUGCACUGUUUAGCCUGAGCCGGUUUUUCCGGUCCAGGUUAUCAUUUCAUACAAACUCUAGUCUUAUGAAUGUAAACGUUUUAAUAACAAUAAUAAAACUAUAUAAUCAAUA